RNAcentral lists this ribosomal RNA (372 nucleotides) under uncultured organism. Its description in RNAcentral is "bacterial SSU rRNA". It matches the Rfam family "Bacterial small subunit ribosomal RNA", at positions 526 to 896 of the family's 1533-position model. The record is from RNAcentral.
CGGGGGGGGCAAGCGUUGUUCGGAAUUACUGGGCGUAAAGGGCUUGUAGGCGGCCAACUAAGUCCGACGUGAAAUCCCCAGGCUUAACCUGGGAACUGCGUCGGAUACUGGAUGGCUUGAAUCCGGGAGAGGGAUGCGGAAUUCCAGGUGUAGCGGUGAAAUGCGUAGAUAUCUGGAGGAACACCGGUGGCGAAGGCGGCAUCCUGGACCGGCAUUGACGCUGAAAAGCGAAAGCCAGGGGAGCAAACGGGAUUAGAUACCCCGGUAGUCCUGGCCCUAAACGAUGAAUGUUUGGUGUGGCGGGUAUCGAUCCCUGCCGUGCCGAAGCUAACGCAUUAAACAUUCCGCCUGGGGAGUACGGUCGCAAGGCUG